This 468-nucleotide ribosomal RNA is filed under the name uncultured bacterium. RNAcentral describes it as "partial 16S ribosomal RNA". It matches the Rfam family "Bacterial small subunit ribosomal RNA", at positions 28 to 507 of the family's 1533-position model. The record is from RNAcentral.
GACGAACGCUGGCGGCGUGCUUAACACAUGCAAGUCGAACGGAAAGGCCCUGCUUUUGUGGGGUGCUCGAGUGGCGAACGGGUGAGUAAAACGUGAGUAACCUGCCCUUGACUUUGGGAUAACUUCAGGAAACUGGGGCUAAUACCGGAUAGGAGCUCCUGCUGCAUGGUGGGGGUUGGAAAGUUUCGGCGGUUGGGGCUGGACUAGCGGCUUAUCAGCUUGUUGGUGGGGUAGUGGCUUACCAAGGCUUUGACGGGUAGCCGGCCUGAGAGGGUGACCGGCCACAUUGGGACUGAGAUACGGCCCAGUCUCCUACGGGAGGCAGCAGUGGAGAAUAUUGCACAAUGGGCGGAAGCCUGAUGCAGCAGCGCCGCGUGCGGGAUGACGGCCUUCGGGUUGUAAACCGCUUUCGCCUGUGACGAAGCGUGAGUGACGGUAAUGGGUAAAGAAGCACCGGCUAACUACGUG